This 369-nucleotide transfer-messenger RNA is filed under the name Bifidobacteriaceae bacterium. It matches the Rfam family "transfer-messenger RNA". Rfam says of the family: Bacterial tmRNA, also known as 10Sa RNA or SsrA, is named for its dual tRNA and mRNA-like properties. Lineage: Bacteria; Bacillati; Actinomycetota; Actinomycetes; Bifidobacteriales; Bifidobacteriaceae. The record is from RNAcentral.
GGGGGCGAUCGGUUUCGACGGUGGAUGUCGAACCAGGUGAAGCGGGUCGAGAACGCGAUGUCAUCUCGUUAACGUUCGUCGCAAACCAAUAGGUGCCAAAUCCAACCGCACCGACUUCGCCCUGGCUGCCUAAGCGGCUAGGAGCGAGUCCGUCAGCCCGGGAGUGCUUCCGGCCCGGAUGCUGGCGUCAUUGAGGAGGCCAACGCUCACAGGUCCCUGUCACCGGGACCCUGAGCGAACCUAGGUGACUGGGCCCGUCGGCCGCGUGCUUGUGCGCGGCCGGGGCCGAGAAACUCGCAGCAAGCUGCACCCGGAGAAGCCCUGGUUCCCGUACAUCGGACGCGGGUUCAAUUCCCGCCGCCUCCACCA